GACGAACGCUGGCGGCGUGCUUAACACAUGCAAGUCGAACGGAAAGGCCCUGCUUUUGUGGGGUGCUCGAGUGGCGAACGGGUGAGUAACACGUGAGUAACCUGCCCUUGACUUUGGGAUAACUUCAGGAAACUGGGGCUAAUACCGGAUAGGAGCUCCUGCUGCAUGGUGGGGGUUGGAAAGUUUCGGCGGUUGGGGAUGGACUCGCGGCUUAUCAGCUUGUUGGUGGGGUAGUGGCUUACCAAGGCUUUGACGGGUAGCCGGCCUGAGAGGGUGACCGGCGACAUUGGGACUGAGAGACGGCCCAGACUCCAACGGGAGGCAGCGGGGGGAAAUAUUGCACAAUGGGCGGAAGCCUGAUGCAGCAACGCCGCGUGCGGGAUGACGGCCUUCGGGUUGUAAACCGCUUUCGCCUGUGACGAAGCGUGAGUGACGGUAAUGAGUAAAGAAGCACCGGCUAACUACGUG
RNAcentral lists this ribosomal RNA (468 nucleotides) under uncultured bacterium. RNAcentral's name for it is "partial 16S ribosomal RNA". It matches the Rfam family "Bacterial small subunit ribosomal RNA", at positions 28 to 507 of the family's 1533-position model. The record is from RNAcentral.